GACAGGCUCCUCCUCUCUCUGACAGUAACUGCUCACAAGUGGGACGUGUUAUGUGAAUGAGAGCAGUUCCAGGGCUUGCGUGAAUACUACUGAGGCUGUUUACAUCCCUUCAACACAUCACUGGAUGAAUUGAACCAGGCAGUAAGUAGCCAGUAUGUGAUCUGCAAUCACUGAGGACUCGUGAGGCAGACUAAGAAGCCCUACUGGAUCCACUGGAGAAAUUCUGGCUUUCAUGUCUGUUUGAGGUGUUUUGGAAUGACUUGGUCCUGUCAGUUCACAAAGAUCAAUCAGAUCUUCUGCUGAAAUCCUUGGUGACACCUCUGCCUUCAGGUCAUCCAACUUGAUAGAAUCUCUAGACUUCAAAAAAAAAAAAAAAAAGUAAUAAUAAAGAUGAUUAAAGAGUUAAAGACACAACAUUCUUUGCAACAUCUAUUUAUUUGACAACCUCAAAGUAUGACAAUUUGGUUAGAUGGAAAUCAAACUUCUCCUUCCUGAGUCAUUACAACUAACUGCCAAUUAAUUAACUGUUCAAAGUGCCUAUUUUUGAAAGCUUUCAUACACUGUGUAAUUAAACAUACAUCAGCAUGCACAAUGGUGUUAAAUAGUUAAUAAACACCGAUUUAUAACUUCCUGCAGCAACAUCUUAUUUUCUGUUAGCAC
Centrocercus urophasianus (Greater sage-grouse) is the source of this 660-nucleotide long non-coding RNA. RefSeq lists it as uncharacterized. NCBI's taxonomy places the organism in Eukaryota, Metazoa, Chordata, Aves, Galliformes, Phasianidae. The transcript has 3 exons. The record is from RefSeq and is a predicted model, not a curated record.